RNAcentral lists this transfer RNA (72 nucleotides) under Bufotes pewzowi. RNAcentral describes it as "tRNA-Lys". It matches the Rfam family "tRNA". From Rfam's summary of the family: Transfer RNA (tRNA) molecules are approximately 80 nucleotides in length. The record is from RNAcentral. Lineage: Eukaryota; Metazoa; Chordata; Amphibia; Anura; Bufonidae. RNAcentral also lists the same sequence under 2 other names.
CAUUGAGAAGCUAUAGGACAAAGCGACAGCCUUUUAAGCUGUAGAAAGGUGACUUCCAACCACCCUUAAUGA